This 547-nucleotide ribosomal RNA is filed under the name uncultured Halomonas sp. Its description in RNAcentral is "bacterial SSU rRNA". It matches the Rfam family "Bacterial small subunit ribosomal RNA", at positions 337 to 876 of the family's 1533-position model. The record is from RNAcentral. Lineage: Bacteria; Pseudomonadati; Pseudomonadota; Gammaproteobacteria; Oceanospirillales; Halomonadaceae.
GCCUACGGGAGGCAGCAGUGGGGAAUAUUGGACAAUGGGCGCAAGCCUGAUCCAGCCAUGCCGCGUGUGUGAAGAAGGCCCUCGGGUUGUAAAGCACUUUCAGCGAGGAAGAACGCCUGGCGGUUAAUACCCGCCAGGAAAGACAUCACUCGCAGAAGAAGCACCGGCUAACUCCGUGCCAGCAGCCGCGGUAAUACGGAGGGUGCAAGCGUUAAUCGGAAUUACUGGGCGUAAAGCGCGCGUAGGUGGCUUGAUAAGCCGGUUGUGAAAGCCCCGGGCUCAACCUGGGAACGGCAUCCGGAACUGUCAGGCUAGAGUGCAGGAGAGGAAGGUAGAAUUCCCGGUGUAGCGGUGAAAUGCGUAGAGAUCGGGAGGAAUACCAGUGGCGAAGGCGGCCUUCUGGACUGACACUGACACUGAGGUGCGAAAGCGUGGGUAGCAAACAGGAUUAGAUACCCUGGUAGUCCACGCCGUAAACGAUGUCGACCAGCCGUUGGGUGCCUAGCGCACUUUGUGGCGAAGUUAACGCGAUAAGUCGCCCGCCUGG